AGGACGAACGCUGGCGGCGUGCUUAACACAUGCAAGUCGAGCGGAAAGGCCCUUCGGGGUACUCGAGCGGCGAACGGGUGAGUAACACGUGAGUAAUCUGCCCCUAGCUCUGGGAUAGCUCCGGGAAACCGGGAUUAAUACCAGAUACGACCACUUUAGACAUCUUCUGUGGUGGAAAGAACUUCGGCUAGGGAUGAACUCGCGGCCUAUCAGCUUGUUGGUGAGGUAAUGGCUCACCAAGGCGACGAUCGGUAGCUGGUCUGAGAGGAUGACCAGCAUCACUGGGACUGAGACACGGCCCAGACUCCUACGGGAGGCAGCAGUGGGGAAUAUUGGACAAUGGGCGCAAGCCUGAUCCAGCCAUGCCGCGUGGAUGAUGAAGGCCUUAGGGUUGUAAAGUCCUUUUAACGGGAAGAUAAUGACGGUACCCGUAGAAUAAGCCCGGCUAACUUCGCGCCAGCAGCCGCGGUAA
This 472-nucleotide ribosomal RNA is filed under the name uncultured bacterium. RNAcentral describes it as "SSU rRNA". It matches the Rfam family "Bacterial small subunit ribosomal RNA", at positions 26 to 523 of the family's 1533-position model. The record is from RNAcentral.